GACGAACGCUGGCGGCGUGCUUAACACAUGCAAGUCGAACGAAGAGCGAUGGAAGCUUGCUUCUAUCAAUCUUAGUGGCGAACGGGUGAGUAACGCGUAAUCAACCUGCCCUUCAGAGGGGGGCAACAGUUGGAAACGACUGCUAAUACCGCAUACGAUCUAAUCUCGGCAUCGAGGAUAGAUGAAAGGUGGCCUCUACAUGUAAGCUAUCACUGAAGGAGGGGAUUGCGUCUGAUUAGCUAGUUGGAGGGGUAACGGCCCACCAAGGCGAUGAUCAGUAGCCGGUCUGAGAGGAUGAACGGCCACAUUGGGACUGAGACACGGCCCAGACUCCUACGGGAGGCAGCAGUGGGGAAUCUUCCGCAAUGGACGAAAGUCUGACGGAGCAACGCCGCGUGAGUGAUGACGGCCUUCGGGUUGUAAAGCUCUGUUAAUCGGGACGAAAGGCCUUCUUGCGAAUAGUGAGAAGGAUUGACGGUACCGGAAUAGAAAGCCACGGCUAACUACGUG
Molecule: ribosomal RNA, 510 nt
Filed under: uncultured bacterium
Lineage: Bacteria
Description: partial 16S ribosomal RNA
Rfam family: Bacterial small subunit ribosomal RNA
Source: RNAcentral